Molecule: ribosomal RNA, 253 nt
Filed under: uncultured bacterium
Lineage: Bacteria
Description: partial 16S ribosomal RNA
Rfam family: Bacterial small subunit ribosomal RNA
Source: RNAcentral
UACAGAGGGUGCGAGCGUUGUUCGGAAUUACUGGGCGUAAAGCGUGCGCAGGCGGGCUUUUAAGCCAGACGUGAAAUCCCCGGGCUUAACCUGGGAAUGGCGUUUGGGACUGGGAGUCUGGAGUGCGGCAGAGGAGACUGGAAUUCCUGGUGUAGCAGUGAAAUGCGUAGAUAUCAGGAGGAACACCGAUGGCGAAGGCAGGUCUCUGGGCUGACACUGACGCUCAUGCACGAAAGCGUGGGGAGCAAACAGG